RNAcentral lists this long non-coding RNA (465 nucleotides) under Mytilus galloprovincialis (Mediterranean mussel). The record is from RNAcentral. Lineage: Eukaryota; Metazoa; Mollusca; Bivalvia; Mytilida; Mytilidae.
UUACAAACUAGAUACCCUAAGGAACAUUCAGUUAAAGUUUGGAAGUAUUUGGCCCAGUAGUUUCAGAGGAGAAGAUUUUUGUAAAAGAUUACUAAGAUUUACGAAAAAUGGUUAAAAAUUGACUAUAAAGGGCUAUAACUCCUAAAGGGGUCAACUGACCAUUUCCGUCAUGUUGACUUAUUUGUAAAUCUUACUUUGCUGAACAUUAUUGCUGUUUACAGUUUAUCUCUAUCUAUAAUAAUAUUCAAGAUAAUAACCAAAAACAGCAAAAUUUCUUUAAAAUUACCAAUUCAGGGGCAGUAACCCAACAACAGGUUGUCUGAUUCAUCUGAAAAUUUCAGGGCAGAUAGAUCUUGACCUGAUAAACAAUAUUAUCCCAUGUCAGAUUUGCUCUAAAUGCUUUGGUUUUUGAGUUAUAAGCCUAAAACUGCAUUUGACCCCUAUGUUAUAUUUUUAGCAAUGGCG